Molecule: ribosomal RNA, 409 nt
Filed under: bacterium
Lineage: Bacteria
Description: partial 16S ribosomal RNA
Rfam family: Bacterial small subunit ribosomal RNA
Source: RNAcentral
UGGGGAAUAUUGCACAAUGGGCGAAAGCCUGAUGCAGCGACGCCGCGUGAGGGAUGACGGCCUUCGGGUUGUAAACCUCUUUCAGCAGGGACGAAGCGCAAGUGACGGUACCUGCAGAAGAAGCACCGGCUAACUACGUGCCAGCAGCCGCGGUAAUACGUAGGGUGCAAGCGUUGUCCGGAAUUACUGGGCGUAAAGAGUUCGUAGGCGGUUUGUCGCGUCGUUUGUGAAAACCAGCAGCUCAACUGCUGGCUUGCAGGCGAUACGGGCGGACUUGAGUACUGCAGGGGGGACUGGAAUUCCUGGUGUAGCGGUGAAAUGCGCAGAUAUCAGGGGGAACACCGGUGGCGAAGGCGGGUCUCUGGGCAGUAACUGACGCUGAGGAACGAAAGCGUGGGUAGCGAACAGG